AAAAGUUUCCUCCCUUACAAAACAUUCAAUUACAUUCCAUUUAUAUCCAUAAUCCACCUGCGUGGCUCUGCUGAUAACACUUCUUAGAGCUAUUUUUCCUUCCUCUUAAGAAAAUGUGACUGCUUUUUAAUUGAGAAGCAAUCUCAUUGGGGAAUGGCAAACCCAGAGUUAUAUUCCCUGGAGAUUUCAAAGCAUGCAAUACAAUCACUAGUGGUAUGAACAGUGUAAAUGUGGAUCUACUUAAUCCCUGUUAAUCCCUGGGUUUUUUAGCACAUUGGUGUAACAACACUUGCACCUCCCAGCUGAGGCACCCUUGAGUAGACAGAUGUGAAUAGAUCAGAAAAAAAGUAUGGGUGGGUUCAGAGGGAGAAAGGAUGGACACUCCAGGAAAAGAGAUGAAGGAUGCCUGGGCACAGGUGUUUGCUCUCCUGCAAGGGGAAUAUCUCCACUUGUCCUUUUCAGCCACUCAUAGAGUGACUCCUGCUCUUUAUUUUCCCCCCAGUGAUUAGUCCUGGUGAGAAGCCCCUCAUUAUCAUGAUCCCAUGUCUGAGAAGACACCUUUUUUUCUGUUGGAUACAGACCUUGCCUCAUGGUCUGGACUGCCAGGGAGCUGCAGUGUGAUGGACUGGUGAUGAAUUUGAUGCAAUGUCCCACCAGUAACCUUGCUGUGGCUGUUUUCAGCUCGUGUUAGUUGGCACCUACCUCUGGGGCUUUCAGCACAUCUUCCCCAUCGUGUCCAGCACAUCCUCCCCUAGCAGCAGUCUGACUGCCAAGCCCCUGACAUGAAGGAAGAACACUCCCUGGAAAUGCUCCUUCCAGCAGAAGAGAAGAGAUAGGAAAGGUGGGAGGAGGACUGCUUGGUGCUGCUGAGAUCUGUGAUGGCAUCAACAGCCUGACAGAGCUGCUGCCAUGACCAGCCAAGCCCCUCACAGGACAGCCAGAGCCAGCGUCCCUGCUCCCCCACAGGCACUUUUGCCCUCUCUCAGGCUCCUAGCUGUCCUUCUGUACACAGCACCAUGGCUAAUCCGUGCCUCAUUUCUCCUUCAUUAUUAGGCUGCCUUGCAAAUGCUUGUUCUUAUCGAUCCCAUUUUCCAGAUCUUUUUCUAACACCCCUGCCUCUAGGCAGCCUAUUAGACCUCACACAGAAGCUGUCUAGACAAAUUCAGAAAAACUUGGAAAGCGCUUGGAUGGUACCACAAGAGGUUAGGCAGGAAAGUUAAUCAGGAAAUUGCUGUCCAUUUCCUCCACAGCACAGUUUGAACAGCGGAUUGUAAAUAAGGCAUGAGAUGCACUCUGAAUAAUGAAGAGAAAUGAUGAAAAGUAUGAAAUGGCUGAUCAUGAGAUCACAAUUUAUUUUAGAUGGUGAAUGUAGGAGAGGUUCCCAGGCAAAAAUUAGUAUGCAAGUAUGUAGGUACAAGAUGAAAGAUGGUAUCAUAAUACAUAUGAAAAUGGGAAUCAAAUGAAUAUUGCCCAGACAAUCCUAAGUCUAACCAUUCUUAUAUUCCAAGAGCUUAAUUUUGCUGUUUAAAAAUCCUCUUACAUUCAGAGGAUCAAGGUCUUAUUUUGUUAAUCUCUUGUAUGGAAAUGCUCCCAAUGUGGAAAAGAAAUUCAGUGACCAAUAAAACAGAUAAAAUAGCAUUCCAUGUUUUUGUCAUUUCGCUGAUGUUUGACUUGCCUGUAUAUUGAAGUGUGAGGUUUCAGCCACUUUUUUACUUAAGAGCUUUGCUGAGCAAGAAAAAAGAUCCCAGGAAAAGCCUAGUCACAUAAAAAAUGUUCUCUGCUUUUGGUAUAUUCAGCAUUUUUCCUGAGUAAAGUUCACCGAAUACUCAUAUAAAUAAAGUAAUUUUUUUGUUUAAUUGGAUUGAGCUUUGAGAGGGAGGAAGCCAAAUAAAUCUAUAAGUGGGGGAAGGGAAGGAUGGGGAAAAUUCUUCAAGGUAAAAUGAGAAAUGGUAACACUCUCACAGAAAUUUCCCAUGGCAGGGUAUUAUUUUUGGUGGUGGGGUUUUUUCCCAGACUCACAGACUUAAAGCUUGCCUAUCUCAUUCAUAACACAGGUCACAGGAUUUCAUCCAGCUGGUCCUGCUUAGGACAGUAUCUGAAAGUGCUGAAAUUAUCACAGGCAGACUCUGCUCCAGCUGAGUGGUGGGAUGAGGAGGAUCCUGAGGUAAUCAAUGAGAAGGAUAAAUGAUCUGCUCAGAGCAGUCUUUCUCCAUGAUGUCCCACAGCUCAACCUCAUCCAGACACAUGAAGGAGGGUUGGAGAAUGGCUGCCCAGUGUCUACAUGUCUCAUUAUAGCUCCUUCCCAGCUGGGUGUCUGCUGCACAUGAACUCUCUUCCAUCAUCCACCAUGAUAAUGAAGACAGUGAACAGAAAUAGUCCCAAGGAAAAAAUUCCCCUGCAGAAUCCAACUUGAAAUGCCUUCUCAUUUUGACAAGAGACAAUUGCAAACCAGUCAGUACAGUUUUUUCAAACACUUCAAUGAGACUUCAUGGCAAUUUCUUUUCUAAUGAAGAUUCACCCAAAAAAAGCAUCGAAUACUUCAAACACCUCUUCAUCAUGUUUUAUUUGUUCUCUGUGUCCAUUAAGUAAUGGAGCUACAACACCCUUUGCCUCACUCCUGCUUCUCACACAGUUAGGAGAAUUGUUCUUGUUGUUUUCUUGCCUUGUUUUUACGAUUUUUUUUUUAAUUUCAAGUAAUGACACACUCCUGGUGCAGCUGUACAGGGUUUACUGUGGAUUCUAUUGCUUGUCUGUACUGCUUUGCUUGUAAUAUAGCCAUCAGCUUUGCACUUUUUCACUUAGAAUUUCUUCCUGAGACUCUGCCUAACUGCUCUCUGAAUUUGCUGAAAUCUGCUUUUUUUAUUUAAAGACCAGAUUUUCAUUCUGUCACACCUAGACCCUGAUUUGUUCUUUGUCCUCAGUUUUAGUGGAAGAUGAAACAAGACACAGAGAAUGUCCAAUUCUAAUUUCAUGUAUUGCCCCUCUCCAGGGAAGAGAUGGAUGGGCAGGAUAAUCUGUUCUCUCUCCUGUGCUUGAUCUGUAGCUUAAGGACUUUGACUUACUGAGUUGUAAACCUGGUAGGUUUUAUGAGCACACCAAAGAAAAGGGGGUGAAGGGGAAAUCCUGUUAAUCAAGGCAGGGGCAUCUUAAUUGACACAGGAGAGAGUUAUGUUUUAAUUUGUUCUUUGAGAGAUGGACAUGACUAGCAGCAAUCUAGGAUUACUGGAUAACUUGAGCAGCUGUCAGAAUGGACAGAACAUCAUUUACUACAUCCAAAUCAGCUAUCGAGGGAAAGAAAUUUGGAAUUAAUCUAGUGGGAUCAGAAAUCAUCCAGAGACUUCAAUAAUAGAUGUGAAACAUUUAUUCUAACAUAGCAUUGAAAUUAGAAAUUAAAACCACUAAGGAAGUCAGGAAAUUGGCUGAGCACGUACCCUUGGCUCACUUUGCAUAGGAGUGCCCUUAGAGGAGGAGGCACAGAGUUUUGGGUGCCUGCUAACAUGUCACUGUCACUGUGAUGGAUGAGAGAAGCUCUUGGUGUGGGAAUUCAGGGGAAAAAGGGAAGUGUUGACUUUUUCAUUUUCUUAAUAAAUAAGGGUUAAAUACUGCAAAAAGAGAUUUAGAAAUAUUUCAAAACCUAAUUUUACUAUUUUAUCAGCUUAUAGAGGAAGAAUCAUAUAUGUGACUUUCUCAGGAACACUGGCAAAAAGCCACAUCACAAAAAUACUUCUUUGCACAUACAUCAAGAAGAGGCCAAGUGCAUUUCUGAUAUGUUUAUUAAUUCCUCCUAGACACUAAAGCCACUGCUUGAGUGAUGGUCACAAGCCUUACCCUGAAAGCUGUUGAGUAACAUCAGUAAAAUUCAGAAAGAAAUGUAGAUUGUCAGUGACUUAACUUUGUUGCCUGGAAAUUUUGACAAUCACUUAUUCAUCUGGAUACCUUUAUAAACCUCAACAUCUUUCUCCCUAUCUCUAGCACCAAGGUUUUUUCAGAUGAGGGUCUCCAAUAUCUGAGCAGAGAAGGGUUGUUUCACUUUGGAGUGAAAACAAGUGGAAAUGUAGUCUCCUUCCAGAUUUGGAAAUGCUGCUUCAGUGGUGACAAAGCACCUUUUGCAAACCUCUCAGCUGAGCUACAAAAAGGUUGGUCAGGGUUUUUCAAAUCAGCUGUACUCACUUGGAGUAAGGAGUAACCUAGCUUUCUGAGGCAAUUGCUUUUCUGCUCUCUUUCCCUAUCUCUUUUUCAGAGGCCAGGUUUGCAAGCAGCUUGACCUGUUUCUCAUUUUCAUGCCAAAUUGCUCCUUCACUUCAUCCUCUCCUCCAGGCAGAAAGAGGAGUAUGUGGAGGAGACUGUCAGGCUGAUGUUUCCUGACAGCCCUACAGAGCAUUGCUGCUUUCUAAGGAAAAUAAAGGCCAGCCAGACUGCCUUGCAAACAACAGCCCUGCCUCAGGAGGCUGCCCACCCAAAGGAUGGAGCAGAGCAGAACCGGAUCCAGCAGCCACUUCCCUGGAAUGCACAGGCUUAACCAGAGCGGCACUGGAG
This is a long non-coding RNA of Haemorhous mexicanus (house finch), 4536 nucleotides long. RefSeq lists it as uncharacterized. NCBI's taxonomy places the organism in Eukaryota, Metazoa, Chordata, Aves, Passeriformes, Fringillidae. The record is from RefSeq and is a predicted model, not a curated record. The transcript is spliced from 3 exons.